UGCACCUAUAGCUCAGUGGAUAGAGCAGAAGCUUCCGAAGCUUUGUACGGGGGUUCGAGUCCCUUUAGGUGCAU
Molecule: transfer RNA, 74 nt
Filed under: Anaeromicropila herbilytica
Lineage: Bacteria; Bacillati; Bacillota; Clostridia; Lachnospirales; Lachnospiraceae
Description: Lachnospiraceae bacterium TB5 tRNA-Arg
Rfam family: tRNA
About the family: Transfer RNA (tRNA) molecules are approximately 80 nucleotides in length. Their secondary structure includes four short double-helical elements and three loops (D, anti-codon, and T loops).
Source: RNAcentral